AUUCCAGCUCCAAUAGCGUAUAUUAAUGUUGUUGCAGUUAAAAAGCUCGUAGUUGGAUUUCUGGGUUCUUCGCUAGCUUUGGUCCGCAAGGGCUUCAGUGGGCUGUUUGAAUCCAUUCUCAGGGGGACCCAUGCUGGUAUUCAUUUAUCGGUGUGGGAACGCCUGUCGUUUACUGUGAACAAAUUAGAGUGUUCAAAGCAAGGUGUACUUGAAUACAUUAGCAUGGAAUAAUAAGAUAGGACUUUGGUGGUUCUUUUUGAUAUUUUGUUGGUUUGCACGCCAAAGUAAUGAUUAAUAGGAGCAGUUGGGGGUAUUCGUAUUCAAUUGUCAGAGGUGAAAUUCUUGGAUUUAUAGAAGACGAACUACUGCGAAAGCAUUUACCAAGGAUGUUUUCAUCG
Molecule: ribosomal RNA, 398 nt
Filed under: Apedinella sp.
Lineage: Eukaryota; Dictyochophyceae; Pedinellales
Description: partial small subunit ribosomal RNA
Rfam family: Eukaryotic small subunit ribosomal RNA
Source: RNAcentral